Molecule: ribosomal RNA, 460 nt
Filed under: uncultured bacterium
Lineage: Bacteria
Description: partial 16S ribosomal RNA
Rfam family: Bacterial small subunit ribosomal RNA
Source: RNAcentral
CCUACGGGAGGCAGCAGUGAGGAAUAUUGGUCAAUGGGCGUAAGCCUGAACCAGCCAAGUCGCGUGAGGGAUGAAGGUUCUAUGGAUCGUAAACCUCUUUUAUAAGGGAAUAAAGUGUGGGACGUGUCCUGUUUUGUAUGUACCUUAUGAAUAAGGAUCGGCUAACUCCGUGCCAGCAGCCGCGGUAAUACGGAGGAUCCGAGCGUUAUCCGGAUUUAUUGGGUUUAAAGGGUGCGUAGGCGGCCUUUUAAGUCAGCGGUGAAAGUCUGUGGCUCAACCAUAGAAUUGCCGUUGAAACUGGGAGGCUUGAGUGUGGUUGAGGCAGUCGGAAUGCGUGGUAUAGCGGUGAAAUGCUUAGAUAUCACGCAGAACCCCGAUUGCGAAGGCAGCCUGCCAAGCCAUGACUGACGCUGAGGCACGAAAGCGUGGGGAUCAAACAGGAUUAGAUACCCUAGUAGUC